CUAGACGAGUUUGAUCAUGGCUCAGAACGAACGCUGGCGGCAGGCCUAACACAUGCAAGUCGAGCGCCCCGCAAGGGGAGCGGCGGACGGGUGAGUAACGCGUGGGAACGUACCCUUUGCUACGGAAUAGCCUCGGGAAACUGGGAGUAAUACCGUAUGUGCCCUUCGGGGGAAAGGAUUUAUCGGCAAAGGAUCGGCCCGCGUUGGAUUAGGUAGUUGGUGGGGUAAUGGCCUACCAAGCCGACGAUCCAUAGCUGGUUUGAGAGGAUGAUCAGCCACACUGGGACUGAGACACGGCCCAGACUCCUACGGGAGGCAGCAGUGGGGAAUCUUAGACAAUGGGCGCAAGCCUGAUCUAGCCAUGCCGCGUGAGCGAUGAAGGCCUUAGGGUUGUAAAGCUCUUUCAGUGGGGAAGAUAAUGACUGUACCCACAGAAGAAGCCCCGGCUAACUCCGUG
RNAcentral lists this ribosomal RNA (457 nucleotides) under uncultured bacterium. Its description in RNAcentral is "bacterial SSU rRNA". It matches the Rfam family "Bacterial small subunit ribosomal RNA", at positions 1 to 507 of the family's 1533-position model. The record is from RNAcentral.